UCAUUUGAAAUAAAUCAUUUAUAAAAAAAAAAUUUAAUUGAAUUCUCAUUCAAUCAUACAGCGGCUUUAAUUGAAUUCUCAUACAGCGGCUGAUUUUUCCUACAAGAAUACGGUAACAAAAUAAUAUCAGAAUCCAAACAUCAAGCCUAUUUGAUUUAAUUAUUUUAAAAUUUUUUAAUUGAAUUUAAUUUUUAAUAUUUUUAAAUUAACAUAUUUGAGAACCGCUGCUUAAAUUGCUCACCUGCUGGUGUAUUUUUUCCUUGCGCGAUGAUGUGAGAGAGUGAUCGAGAAGCCGCCUUCUUUCACCGUAAAGAAUAAGUCCGCUAAGCCUCGGCUAGUCACAUUUCUCCCCCAUAAGUAUUGGUCUCUGCCGCACUGGUGACGCCGAGUUAUUGUUUUGCCACCCAACACGAGACUCGCAAUCUUCUGACCCAAGAAGUGGCUAUGCCGGUAGCAAUGAUCUCUCUCCCAAGCUCCCAACGCUCGUCUCUUCCGACUUGUUUGCUUCGCUCCACCUCAGCGACUCAAUCAACAUCCUCCUUAUUCUGACUGAGUUACUAGAAUUGGGCUGAUGAUGAGUGGACCAUGUAGAGGAGGGAUCAGAAAAGCUGCUGGGUCUCGGUUAUCCAUUUGCUUUCUGUGGGCUUUCCUUUUAAGCAUGGUUGCAGUGCAUAUCCCGAUGAGAACAAAGGCAGCGCAUGCAAAUAGGAGUGCUUUUUGGGUUGAGGUCCCAUGUGUCGUCUAAAUUCCACGGUGCUUCCAUGGCUGUAAGUUUCUAUGUUCAGUGUGGGAAAUUGAAUCUGCUAUACGGGUAUUGCAUGGAUUCCCGUGGGAGCCACCACCGGCUGGCUAGAGUUGAGGUUUAAGAGGGUAGCCAUGUGGGAAUCAGUUUUAUGAUGCCAUUGUGAGGAUCUCAACGAUUGAAGGCAAUAAAGAAAUCUCACGAGGGAUAAUAAGUUGCCAUAAAAUGUCUGAACAAUGAUAAAUCGCACGUUCAACAUUACACCACACUAACGAAAGUGUGGUGUGUCGCAUAUAUAUUUACAUUUAAGCAACG
This 1057-nucleotide unclassified non-coding RNA is filed under the name Hevea brasiliensis (rubber tree). Lineage: Eukaryota; Viridiplantae; Streptophyta; Magnoliopsida; Malpighiales; Euphorbiaceae. The record is from RNAcentral.